This 350-nucleotide ribosomal RNA is filed under the name uncultured bacterium. Its description in RNAcentral is "bacterial SSU rRNA". It matches the Rfam family "Bacterial small subunit ribosomal RNA", at positions 9 to 338 of the family's 1533-position model. The record is from RNAcentral.
GAGUUUGAUCUUGGCUCAGGAUGAACGCUGGCGGCGUGCUUAACACAUGCAAGUCGAACGAAGCAUUUAGAACGGAUUACUUCGGUUUGAAGUUCUUUAUGACUGAGUGGCGGACGGGUGAGUAACGCGUGGGUAACCUGCCUUGUACUGGGGGAUAGCAGCUGGAAACGGCUGGUAAUACCGCAUAAGCGCACAAUGUUGCAUGACAUGGUGUGAAAAACUCCGGUGGUAUAAGAUGGACCCCGCGUCUGAUUAGCUAGUUGGUGAGAUAACAGCCCACCAAGGCGACGAUCAGUAGCCGACCUGAGAGGGUGACCGGCCACAUUGGGACUGAGACACGGCCCAGACUC